This 85-nucleotide transfer RNA is filed under the name Clostridiales bacterium. RNAcentral's name for it is "tRNA-Tyr". It matches the Rfam family "tRNA". From Rfam's summary of the family: Transfer RNA (tRNA) molecules are approximately 80 nucleotides in length. Their secondary structure includes four short double-helical elements and three loops (D, anti-codon, and T loops). Further hydrogen bonds mediate the characteristic L-shaped molecular structure. tRNAs have two regions of fundamental functional importance: the anti-codon, which is responsible for specific mRNA codon recognition, and the 3' end, to which the tRNAs corresponding amino acid is attached (by aminoacyl-tRNA synthetases). tRNAs cope with the degeneracy of the genetic code in two manners: having more than one tRNA (with a specific anti-codon) for a particular amino acid; and 'wobble' base-pairing, i.e. permitting non-standard base-pairing at the 3rd anti-codon position. Lineage: Bacteria; Bacillati; Bacillota; Clostridia; Eubacteriales. RNAcentral also lists the same sequence under 1 other name. The record is from RNAcentral.
GGAGGAGUACCCAAGCGGCCAAAGGGGGCAGACUGUAAAUCUGCUGGCACAGCCUUCAGUGGUUCGAAUCCACUCUCCUCCACCA